This 536-nucleotide ribosomal RNA is filed under the name Rana macrocnemis macrocnemis. RNAcentral's name for it is "partial 16S ribosomal RNA". It matches the Rfam family "Bacterial large subunit ribosomal RNA", at positions 1854 to 2608 of the family's 2925-position model. Lineage: Eukaryota; Metazoa; Chordata; Amphibia; Anura; Ranidae. The record is from RNAcentral.
CAGCCUGCCCAGUGACAAAGUUCAACGGCCGCGGUACCCUAACCGUGCGAAGGUAGCAUAAUCACUUGUUCUUUAAAUGAGGACUUGUAUCAACGGCACUACGAGGGCUAUACUGUCUCCUUUUUCUAAUCAGUGAAACUGAUCUCCCCGUGAAGAAGCGGGGAUCAAAAUAUAAGACGAGAAGACCCCAUGGAGCUUUAAACUUACCACCCACCUCUGUGGUACCACACCAUUCAACACAAGAGACCUGCGUGCUAGUUUUAGGUUGGGGGGACCACGGAGUAUAAUUAAACCUCCACAACAAAUGGGCUAAUACCCUUAUCCACGAGACACAACUCUAAGAAUUACUAAACUAAUGCUUAUGACCCGAUAUUCGAUCAAUGAACCAAGUUACCCUGGGGAUAACAGCGCAAUCUACUUCAAGAGCCCCUAUCGACAAGUAGGUUUACGACCUCGAUGUUGGAUCAGGGUAUCCCGGUGGUGCAGCCGCUACCGAUGGUUCGUUUGUUCAACGAUUAAAACCCUACGUGAUCUGA